GUGGGGGAUAUUGCACAAUGGGGGGAACCCUGAUGCAGCGACGCCGCGUGGGUGAAGGAGCACCUCGGUGCGUAAAGCCCUAUCGGCAGGGAAGAAAGACGGGCGAGCCCGUCUGGACGGUACCUGAGUAAGAAGCCCCGGCUAACUACGUGCCAGCAGCCGCGGUAAUACGUAGGGGGCAAGCGUUAUCCGGAUUCACUGGGUGUAAAGGGAGCGUAGACGGCCGUGCAAGUCUGGAGUGAAAGCCCGGGGCCCAACCCCGGGACUGCUCUGGAAACUGCGUGGCUGGAGUGCGGGAGGGGCAGGCGGAAUUCCUGGUGUAGCGGUGAAAUGCGUAGAUAUCAGGAGGAACACCGGCGGCGAAGGCGGCCUGCUGGACCGCGACUGACGUUGAGGCUCGAGAGCGUGGGGAGCAAACAGGA
RNAcentral lists this ribosomal RNA (422 nucleotides) under uncultured bacterium. RNAcentral describes it as "bacterial SSU rRNA". It matches the Rfam family "Bacterial small subunit ribosomal RNA", at positions 354 to 777 of the family's 1533-position model. The record is from RNAcentral.